RNAcentral lists this transfer RNA (77 nucleotides) under [Eubacterium] minutum. RNAcentral's name for it is "tRNA-Pro(ggg)". It matches the Rfam family "tRNA". From Rfam's summary of the family: Transfer RNA (tRNA) molecules are approximately 80 nucleotides in length. Their secondary structure includes four short double-helical elements and three loops (D, anti-codon, and T loops). Further hydrogen bonds mediate the characteristic L-shaped molecular structure. tRNAs have two regions of fundamental functional importance: the anti-codon, which is responsible for specific mRNA codon recognition, and the 3' end, to which the tRNAs corresponding amino acid is attached (by aminoacyl-tRNA synthetases). tRNAs cope with the degeneracy of the genetic code in two manners: having more than one tRNA (with a specific anti-codon) for a particular amino acid; and 'wobble' base-pairing, i.e. permitting non-standard base-pairing at the 3rd anti-codon position. Lineage: Bacteria; Bacillati; Bacillota; Clostridia; Peptostreptococcales; Anaerovoracaceae. The record is from RNAcentral. RNAcentral also lists the same sequence under 2 other names.
CGGGAUGUGGCGCAGUCCGGUAGCGUACAAGUAUGGGGUACUUGGGGUCGCAGGUUCAAAUCCUGUCAUCCCGACCA